Molecule: ribosomal RNA, 253 nt
Filed under: uncultured bacterium
Lineage: Bacteria
Description: partial 16S ribosomal RNA
Rfam family: Bacterial small subunit ribosomal RNA
Source: RNAcentral
UACGUAGGGGGCAAGCGUUAUCCGGAUUUACUGGGUGUAAAGGGGGCGCAGACGGCGAUGCAAGCCAGGAGUGAAAGCCCGGGGCCCAACCCCGGGACUGCUCUUGGAACUGCGUGGCUGGAGUGCAGGAGGGGCAGGCGGAAUUCCUGGUGUAGCGGUGAAAUGCGUAGAUAUCAGGGGGAACACCGGUGGCGAAGGCGGCCUGCUGGACUGCAACUGACGUUGAGGCCCGAAAGCGUGGGGAGCAAACAGG